This 28-nucleotide small RNA is filed under the name Bombyx mori (domestic silkworm). Its description in RNAcentral is "ovarian small RNA-14670". The record is from RNAcentral. Lineage: Eukaryota; Metazoa; Arthropoda; Insecta; Lepidoptera; Bombycidae.
CUCCAGCACGGACUGCCGAUAUUGGAGC